AGUGAACGCUGGCGGCAGGCCUAAUACAUGCAAGUCGAACGGCAGCACAGCAGAGCUUGCUCUGUGGGUGGCGAGUGGCGGACGGGUGAGGAAUACGUGGGAAUCUGCCCAGUCGUGGGGGAUAACGUAGGGAAACUUACGCUAAUACCGCAUGCGCCCUUCGGGGGAAAGCCGGGGGACCUUCGGGCCUGGCGCGAUUGGAUGAGCCCACGUCGGAUUAGCUAGUUGGCGGGGUAAAGGCCCACCAAGGCGACGAUCCGUAGCUGGUCUGAGAGGAUGAUCAGCCACACUGGAACUGAGACACGGUCCAGACUCCUACGGGAGGCAGCAGUAGGGAAUAUUGGACAAUGGGCGCAAGCCUGAUCCAGCCAUGCCGCGUGAGUGAAGAAGGCCCUCGGGUUGUAAAGCUCUUUUGUCCGGAAGAAAGCGCCGGGUUAAUACCCUGGUGUCCUGACGGUACCGGAGGAAUAAGCACCGGCUAACUUCGUGCCAGCAGCCGCGGUAA
RNAcentral lists this ribosomal RNA (505 nucleotides) under uncultured bacterium. Its description in RNAcentral is "bacterial SSU rRNA". It matches the Rfam family "Bacterial small subunit ribosomal RNA", at positions 30 to 523 of the family's 1533-position model. The record is from RNAcentral.